This 3390-nucleotide long non-coding RNA is filed under the name Anolis carolinensis (green anole). RNAcentral's name for it is "lncRNA (ENSACAG00000045276.1)". The record is from RNAcentral. Lineage: Eukaryota; Metazoa; Chordata; Lepidosauria; Squamata; Anolidae.
AUGGAGUUUGGCUUGGACAAAUGUUCGACAGUGGCAUUGAAGAAGGGAAAAAUCAUUGAAAGUGAGGGCAUAAAUAUGCCUAAUGGCCAAACAAUAAAGUGUCACCAGCCAGAGGCCUAUAAAUACCUGGGCAUACUACAACUGGACAACAUCAAGCAUGAACAUAUGAAAACUGUGGUCAGCAAAGAAUACACACAAAUGGUCAGAAAAAUUCUCAAAAGCAAGCUCAAUGGAGGCAACACCAUCAAGGCCAUAAACACCUGGGCCAUACCUGUCAUAAGAUAUACUGCUGGCAUCAUAAACUGGACACAGAUGGAACUGGACAAUUUGGACAGAAAAACAAGAAAACUCAUGACCAUUCAUCAGUCACUGCACCCUCGCAGUGAUGUUAACCGGCUGUAUCUGCCUAGAAGAUCAGGGGGCAGAGGACUCUUACAAGUCAAACAAGCAGUCAAAGAAGAAGAACAUGCCCUGGCAGAAUAUGUAAAGCAAAGUGAAGAACCUGCUUUGAUUGAAGUCAAAAAUCAGAAACUCCUCAAAGCACAGCAGACAAAAAACCAGUACAAGAAAGCCACACUACAAACUAGAGCUGACAGCUGGCACAACAAAACAUUGCAUGGAAAGUUCCUUGACAAAAUUGAAGGAAAAGCUGAUAAGGAGAAGACCUGGCUAUGGCUCACGAAUGGGACCCUGAAGAAGGAGACAGGUCUUCUCUUUAUCAGCUUUUCCUUCAAUUUUGUCAAGGAACUUUCCAUGCAGUGUUUUGUUGUGCCAGCUGUCAGCUCUAGUUUGUAGUGCGGUUUUCUUGUACUGGUUUUUUGUCUGCUGUGCUUUGAGGAGUUUCUGAUUUUUGACUUCAAUCAAAGCAGGUUCUUCACUUUGCUUGACAUAUUCUGCCAGGGCAUGUUCUUCUUCUUUGACUGCUUGUUUUACUUGUAAGAGUCCUCUGCCCCCUGAUCUUCUAGGCAGAUACAGCCGGUCAACAUCACUGCGAGGGUGCAGUGAAUGAUGAAUGGUCAUGAGUUUUCUUGUUUUUCUGUCCAAAUUGUCCAGUUCCGCCUGUGUCCAAUUUAUAAUGCCAGCAGUAUAUCUUAUCACAGGUAUGGCCCAGGUGUUUAUGGCCUUGAUGGUGUUGCCUCCAUUGAGCUUGCUUUUGAGAAUUUUUCUGACCCUUUGUGUGUAUUCUUUACUGACCACAAUCUUCACAUGUUCAUGCUUGAUGUUGUCCAGCUGUAAUAUGCCCAGAUAUUUAUAGGCCUCUGGCUGGUGACACUUUAUUGUUUGGCCAUUGGGCAUAUUGAUGCCCUCACUUUCAAUGAUUUUUCCCUUCUUCAAUGCCACUGUCGAACAUUUGUCCAAACCAAACUCCAUGUUGAUAUCAGUGCUAAAAAUUCGGACAGUGUUGGUCAGAGAUUGGAUUUCAGUUUCCGUUUUCCCAUAUAGCUUCAGGUCAUCCAUGUACAUCAAAUGUGAAAUUUUGUGAGAAUUCUUAGAUGUUUGGUAGCCGAGAUUUGUUUUUUGUAAGAUUGUUGAGAGAGGGAUCAUGGCAAUAAUGAAAAGCAGAGGGGACAAUGAGUCUCCCUGGCAAAUUCCUCUCCUGAUGUUGACAAGUCCAUAACUUUCAUUUCCAACAAACAGUUCAGUUUUCCAGUGCUCCAUCAUGUUUUCAAUGAAGGUGCCAAUGUUUUUACUAAUCCCGAUGGCGUCCAGGCACUUGAUGAUCCAGCUGUGUGGGAGUGAGUCAAAGGCCUUUUUGUAGUCAAUCCACGUCAUGUGAAGAUUAGCUUUUCGGCUCUUACAGUUCUCCAGAAUCAUUUUGUCAAUCAAUAACUGGUCUUUUGUGCCCCUGCUUUUCCGUUUGUUGCCUUUCUGUUCAUCUGGCAAGAUGUUUUUUUCUUCAAGAUAGUCUUGAAUUCUGUCAGCUAUGAUGCCAGUUAGUAGUUUAAACAUAGUGGGCAGACACGUUAUUGGCCUGUAGUUUCCUGGUGCUGCUCCUUUUGCUGGAUCCUUUUGUAUCAGGUAUGUUCUUCCAGUUGUUAGCCAUUCACUGAUACUUCCUUUCUGCAGCAUCUCAUUGAAUUGUUGGGCCAUUUUUCCAUGUAAACUAAUCAGAUGUUUGAGCCAAAAUCCAUGAAGUUGAUCACUAACAGGCGAUGUCCAGUUCUUGACUUUUUGCACUCGUUUGCUGAUCAUUUCAGUUGUUAUUUCCAUCUGUUCCAUUUUGUUCUGUGAGAAUUUUCCUUCAAACUCCUUUAUCCACCCAGCGUUUUUGUUGUAGUUCUUAUUGUUUUCCCAAAGCUCUUUCCAGAACUUCGUUGUUGCAGUUUUCUCUGGUUUUAUGGUUACUGUGUCUGUUGUUUGGUUCAGGCUCUGGUAGAACCGUCUUUGGUCUGAUUGAAACAGUUGAUUUUGUCUGUACUGGAUGAUUCUGGCUUCAUACCUUUCAAUUUUUCUGGCUGUUGCUGUAAUUUGUUCUUUCACAAUUUCCAAAGCUUCUUCAAUUUUUCUGGUGUUCAGUCAGUACUUUCUGAUCAGGUAUUGCUUGAUUUUGUCAUUCUUCAGUUUCUUCGCUUUCAUAUUUUUCAGGUUACUUGCAUCUGAUCUAAGUUUCUUGAUUUUCAACUCUAGCCUGACCUUCCACUUUGGUUUUCCAGUUGAUUUUCUUUGGGGCUGCCUUGGUUGUAGGAGCCCAAGCUCUUCUGUUACUAUCACUGCUGCACUGUAGGCAUACUGGUUUGUUUGUUCAAUUGAUGUUAUUUGGACAGUGGAGAGUACUGCAUUCACAUCUUUCAUGAGAGGUGCCAGGUGUCUCUUGGGCACUGUUUUUAGAGUUGGGAGCCGCUUUCUUAUUGCAUUUGCUGCAGCAUGAGCCAUGAUCUUGUCCUUGAGCUCUUGUUGUCUUGCUGUCAAGGUUCCUGGUGGUUCAGCAGAUGUUUCAAGUGCUGGUUCAUGAAAUUCUUGCAAAAGCUCCACACUUUCUUCUGGUUCAAUCUGUUCCACCAUUUCAAGUGUUGCUGGAGUCUCUGCUGCUGUCUGUGCUGUGGUCUGAUGGUAAUUUACUUUGCAAAUUUUCUGGAUUUCUUCGAGUUCAACUUCUCUGAACACUUUGUUUCUGAUUAUGAAUCUUCGUUGGUCAGCCAGUCGGGAUUCUGUUAUCUGUGAGUCAGGGUACUCUUGUUUCCAUAGCUGAUGCAUCCUUUUUUGGUAGCCACGCCUUUGAGGUUCAGAUUUGUAGUAGCAUUUCAUAAUUGUGCGGUUUUCUGGCAUUGUAUAUUUCUGCCGCUUCUGUGACUGUUCAUUUGGGGUUUGAUGAUUCCGUAGCCCACUUGUCAAUGGAUGUUCAGAAUCAGCAGCAUCCACCGCGGUCCUUUUUAUCCUGGGCGACGACCG